This is a long non-coding RNA of Leucoraja erinaceus (little skate), 336 nucleotides long. RefSeq lists it as uncharacterized. NCBI's taxonomy places the organism in Eukaryota, Metazoa, Chordata, Chondrichthyes, Rajiformes, Rajidae. The transcript has 4 exons. The record is from RefSeq and is a predicted model, not a curated record.
CAGUCUUAGCUGUGGCAAUGCUGAUUGUGAUGGCAUCACUUGUUUGCUAUUUCAAACGCAGGAAAGCUGGCAGACAGGCUGGUGUGUUGCGAGGAAACGGUCUACAUCACGAUUCUCUGCGACUCGAAGCCGGCUCAAGAAACAAUUAUACUUCACUGAAAUGACUCUUCCAGGAACAUCGAAGCGAUGACCCACUGCAGUCCCCCAGUUACCGCUUCAUAAUGGAUUUACAUUGUGACUGGUGGACACAAGAGUAACAAUGACGCUUCCUGUUCAAAGUUCCUUAUUUCUAAUUGUUUGAUAUUAAUGAAGCAUUAAAUACGCAAGUUGCUGUGU